CUGGAACGCGCCCCAGGCGCACCCAGAAACCCUUUGUGAACUUAUACCUUACUGUUGCCUCGGCGCAUGCCGGCCCCCCUGGGGGCCCCUCCUUCUGGAGGAACAGGCACGCCGGCGGCCAACCCAACUCUUGUUUUUACACUGAAACUCUGAGCACAAAACAUAAAUGAAUCAAAACUUUCAACAACGGAUCUCUUGGUUCUGGCAUCGAUGAAGAACGCAGCGAAAUGCGAUAAGUAAUGUGAAUUGCAGAAUUCAGUGAAUCAUCGAAUCUUUGAACGCACAUUGCGCCCUCUGGUAUUCCGGAGGGCAUGCCUGUUCGAGCGUCAUUUCAACCCUCAAGCCUGGCUUGGUGAUGGGGCACUGCUUCUUACCCGAGAAGCAGGCCCUGAAAUUCAGUGGCGAGCUCGCCAGGACCCCGAGCGCAGUAGUUAAACCCUCGCUCUGGAAGGCCCUGGCGGUGCCCUGCCGUUAAACCCCCAACUUCUGAAAAU
Molecule: ribosomal RNA, 494 nt
Filed under: Diaporthe sp. Apl020
Lineage: Eukaryota; Fungi; Ascomycota; Sordariomycetes; Diaporthales; Diaporthaceae
Description: eukaryotic LSU rRNA
Rfam family: 5.8S ribosomal RNA (bases 176-329)
Source: RNAcentral